Long non-coding RNA from Oreochromis aureus, 2507 nucleotides. RefSeq lists it as uncharacterized. The record is from RefSeq and is a predicted model, not a curated record. Lineage: Eukaryota; Metazoa; Chordata; Actinopteri; Cichliformes; Cichlidae. The transcript is spliced from 6 exons.
GUACUGUCACAUGUUCAAACAACACAUUCAAAUACAAAGAAGACAACUCAUAAGGGCUGAAAAAAAUGAGUAUAAUACGGGUUGAUGAGUCAGUGGCGCUCACCUCUGACCAGUGACAUCAAUACUGAGAGCCCAGAUUUCAGGCUUGAGGUGAGGAUGAAGAGGAUGACGUUGAUGUUUUAUCCAGACCCCUGUCGCGUUGUCUCUUUCCUUCAUGUUUGCACUUCUCUGGUGAAGCAGACCCCUUCUCAGAUGAUAAAACACAGCUGGAGCCUCCGUGUCUGUUUUCAUUGUGUCGGAGAAUUCCAGUGUUGAGGCUACGAGUGCGCUUUUCCUGGCUCUGCACGCCUUCCUCCUGAAGAAUCGGAGAGGGUACCAAGCGUCAUUCCGCCACCAGUGCACUCCACUCUAAGGAUGCAUGGUUUCAAAGGGACCACAGAACAAAUCAGAGGCCCAUCCCUGCGCACCAAUGGCCUGUCUCUCAUUUCAGAUGGAGAUUGAAGGGCACGUCUGCUCCCGGGGCGCCCACCGCCCUGAGGGCCUCUGUGUCUCCCCUGCGUGAGAGCUGGACCGCUACGCGCACCAAAAAACCCGUCGACCCCCGCAAUCGGCUGUCUGUGUGGACCCGCUGUCGAAUACUCCCCGCUGGACACACACAGACACAGACGCGCAGUCGGACGGGGCGAGCACUGCUUGGUAAACAAUCGCAGCCACACAUGCUCACGCUAGGAAGGAACAUGAAAACAGCACUAAUGGGAAAAAGAUGAGAGGGCUCACAGCGAGCACACCCAGAGAGAAGGAGGAGAGCGAGCCGGCAGUCGGACACCGCUCGCUGUCUCAGCCCUGCAUGCCGGCACACAAAAACAGCCCUCAGAUAGAAAGAUAGUUCCUGAGGUCACACUGUUUAAAAAAAAAAGAAGGAAAAGGAAAAAGAUUGGUGGGUUAAAAAGCACUCAGCUGAUUUACAGCAUCUGUGAGCUCCUGUGAUUAUUUUAUCCGAACGUUAUAUUAUUAUAAUUUUGCUGUACUACUUUAUUUCUUUCCAGCUAUUAGAGCUAAAUUACCUACAUUUUUGCUUUUUUGUCAAAUAUAUUUAGAAUGUUUGAUUUACCCAUAAAUUUUUCCAGUUACAAUCUGGCAAACAGUCAUAUUUAUUUGUAAAUGAAAAAAACUAAAUAAAAUGUUAAACAUGUUUAAACACUUGCCAUAAUGGUCGUGCGCUGUUCCUGUAAAGAAAAGAAAAAAAGAAGGACGGCCUUGUGCUGUGAGGGGAAAGAGUGUGUCAUCUUGUUUAUUUUCCUUUGGUUUGCUGUCUUUUUCCAGGCCAUGGGGCGCGAUGAUAACAAAAAAAUAUUGCGGGCGUCCGUGUCCUCACAGCGGACUGCCCUCCCCCACCACCACCACCACCACCAUUACCACCACCCGACGCGAUCCGACGGGGACCGCAGGGCCCUCGCAGCAACAUUUUUGCCCUGAGGGAGAGGAGCAGAGAAGUUACCGCCUGUGAGUUAAUGACGGCUCGCUGCUGAUUCCCCUCACAUGUUUUGCUCGUCUUUUGGGGGCUUUUUGCUUAUUCGUACAGGCACAAACCAGCUCCUCUCUCUGUCCCAGUGAGGUCUCAUCCUCCAGAGUUAAUACUGGCCGCCGUCACAAGCUACGGAACUGGUCUUGAUUAGUGCUACUGAACUAAGAUACUUAUGUACGCCACAUCCUUCUGGAAAAAAAAAUAAAAAUAAUAAUAAUAAUUACACUCCCAAAAAAUUCUCAUUAAUUUUUCUCCAGACUUCCAACUCCGUCUCCGCGCUCUCUGCCUUAUCCGUGGUGUGUAUCCACUAAGACUGAAUAAUAUUUGGACAGGUGUUCUUUCAUAUACGUUAACUCAAAGGAGUCUAGCGUGCAGUUUCAUAAAGCAGGGGAAAAAGAAGCAUAUCCUGGUGACUGGGUUCUGAAGUUGGUGCUGUAUGCUGUAGUCUGUACUGUAUGUGUAAUCCCUAACAAUAAAAAACUGUUUAGCACUAAUUUUCCUGUACUUUUAAAACCUUUUUUUCCUCCCCGUUUCAGACAAGAGGAGGCCACAUCUGGAAGACAGAUGUAGUCCCAGAGCUUGUUCUCUCCCUUUGACUCUUGCUCUCUCUCUCACUGCUUCUCACUCACUCUCUCUUUCUCCUGUCCUUCCCUCCCUCUCCUCUCUUUUUGGGAAACAUGAGAGCCGGGCUAAUUCUCUCUCUCUCUCUCCCUUUUUCUCCCUGCCUUGCUCUCUCCCUCCCACCCUGGCCGGACCACCCACAUUCGGAAACGCCUAGCUGCUCCUGAGGCAGAGCCGCCGGCAGCUUAGAGAGACCAAGAGGCAACAGCGAACAAGAGAGAUUAGCCACAGACCCCACAGUGGCCCCAACCAUACCUCCAUAUGUCCCUCCCACGAACAGGCCGACCAGGGACCCCAGCAGAGACUCCCUUCUGACCAGAGAGGACAGCCACCUAAUCCACCCUGUCAGCAUUUCCCACAA